UAGUGCGAACGUAGAGGGUGAUAUUCCCGUACACGAAAGGGCACACAUAAUGAUGACGAGUAGGGCGAGGCACGUGAAACCUUGUCUGAAUAUGGGGGGACCAUCCUCCAAGGCUAAAUACUCCUGACUGACCGAUAGUGAACCAGUACCGUGAGGGAAAGGCGAAAAGAACCCCUGUGAGGGGAGUGAAAUAGAUCCUGAAACCGCAUGCAUACAAGCAGUGGGAGCACCUUCGUGGUGUGACUGCGUACCUUUUGUAUAAUGGGUCAGCGACUUAUAUUCAGUAGCGAGGUUAACCGUAUAGGGGAGCCGUAGAGAAAUCGAGUCUUAAUAGGGCGUUUAGUUGCUGGGUAUAGACCCGAAACCAGGCGAUCUAUCCAUGAGCAGGUUGAAGGUUGGGUAACACUAACUGGAGGACCGAACCCACUGUCGUUGAAAAGCCAGGGGAUGACUUGUGGAUAGGGGUGAAAGGCUAAUCAAGCCUGGUGAUAGCUGGUUCUCCCCGAAAGCUAUUUAGGUAGCGCCUCGGACGAAUACCAUAGGGGGUAGAGCACUGUUUCGGCUAGGGGGUCAUCCCGACUUACCAAACCGAUGCAAACUCCGAAUACCUAUGAGUACUAUCCGGGAGACAGACUGCGGGUGCUAACGUCCGUAGUCAAGAGGAAAACAAUCCAGACCGCCAGCUAAGGCCCCAAAAUCAUAGUUAAGUGGGAAACGAUGUGGGAAGGCAUAGACAGCUAGGAGGUUGGCUUAGAAGCAGCCACCCUUUAAAGAAAGCGUAAUAGCUCACUAGUCGAGUCGGCCUGCGCGGAAGAUGUAACGGGGCUAAAACUAUGUGCCGAAGCUGCGGAUGUAUACUUUGUAUACGUGGUAGGGGAGCGUUCUGUAAGCCGAUGAAGGUGUGUUGAGAAGCAUGCUGGAGGUAUCAGAAGUGCGAAUGCUGACGUGAGUAACGACAAAACGGGUGAAAAACCCGUUCGCCGAAAGACCAAGGGUUCCAGUCCAACGUUAAUCGGGGCUGGGUGAGUCGACCCCUAAGGCGAGGCCGAAAGGCGUAGUCGAUGGGAAAAUGGUUAAUAUUCCAUUACUUCUGUGUAAUGCGAUGAGAGGACGGAGAAGGCUAAAUCAGCCUGGCGUUGGUUGUCCAGGUGAAAGGAUGUAGGCAUGUAUCUUAGGCAAAUCCGGGGUACUCUAUGCUGAGAUCUGAUAGCAAGCUGUACUUGUACAGCGAAGUGGUUGAUGCCAUGCUUCCAGGAAAAGUCUCUAAGCUUCAGUUACACAGGAAUCGUACCCGAAACCGACACAGGUGGUCAGGUCGAGUAGACCAAGGCGCUUGAGAGAACUCUGCUGAAGGAACUAGGCAAAAUGGUACCGUAACUUCGGGAGAAGGUACGCUGUUGUUGGUGAUGGAACUCGCUUCCUGAGCUGACGACAGCCGCAGAAACCAGGCCGCUGCAACUGUUUAUUAAAAACAUAGCACUCUGCAAACACGAAAGUGGACGUAUAGGGUGUGAUGCCUGCCCGGUGCUGGAAGGUUAAUUGAUGGGGUUAGCGUAAGCGAAGCUCUUGAUCGAAGCCCCAGUAAACGGCGGCCGUAACUAUAACGGUCCUAAGGUAGCGAAAUUCCUUGUCGGGUAAGUUCCGACCUGCACGAAUGGCAUAAUGAUGGCGGCGCUGUCUCCAGCAGAGGCUCAGUGAAAUCGAAAUCGCUGUGAAGAUGCAGUGUACCCGCGGCUAGACGGAAAGACCCCGUGAACCUUUACUGCAGCUUGACACUGAACUUUGACCUUACUUGUGUAGGAUAGGUGGGAGGCUUUGAAGCUGGAACGCUAGUUCCAGUGGAGCCGUCCUUGAAAUACCACCCUGGUAAUGUUGAGGUUCUAACUCUGUCCCGUGAUCCGGGACGAGGACCGUGUCUGGUGGGUAGUUUGACUGGGGCGGUCUCCUCCUAAAGAGUAACGGAGGAGUACGAAGGUGCGCUCAGCGUGGUCGGAAAUCACGCGUAGAGUAUAAAGGCAAAAGCGCGCUUAACUGCGAGACCCACAAGUCGAGCAGGUACGAAAGUAGGUCUUAGUGAUCCGGUGGUUCUGUAUGGAAGGGCCAUCGCUCAACGGAUAAAAGGUACUCUGGGGAUAACAGGCUGAUACCGCCCAAGAGUUCAUAUCGACGGCGGUGUUUGGCACCUCGAUGUCGGCUCAUCUCAUCCUGGGGCUGAAGCAGGUCCCAAGGGUAUGGCUGUUCGCCAUUUAAAGAGGUACGCGAGCUGGGUUUAGAACGUCGUGAGACAGUUCGGUCCCUAUCUACCGUGGGCGCUGGAAAUUUGAGAGGAUCUGCUCCUAGUACGAGAGGACCAGAGUGGACGAACCUCUGGUGUACCGGUUGUGACGCCAGUCGCAUCGCCGGGUAGCUAUGUUCGGAAGGGAUAACCGCUGAAAGCAUCUAAGCGGGAAGCCUACCUCAAGAUAAGAUUUCCCUAGGACUUUAUGUCCUCUAAAGAGCCGUUCGAGACUAGGACGUUGAUAGGUUGGAUGUGGAAGCAUAGUGAUAUGUGAAGCUGACCAAUACUAAUUGCUCGUGAGGCUUGACUAU
RNAcentral lists this ribosomal RNA (2589 nucleotides) under Acinetobacter baumannii 984213. RNAcentral's name for it is "bacterial LSU rRNA". It matches the Rfam family "Bacterial large subunit ribosomal RNA", at positions 347 to 2925 of the family's 2925-position model. Lineage: Bacteria; Pseudomonadati; Pseudomonadota; Gammaproteobacteria; Moraxellales; Moraxellaceae. The record is from RNAcentral.